AAGUUUGAUCCUGGCUCAGAGUGAACGUUGGCGGCGUGGAUUAGGCAUGCAAGUCGAGCGAUCGUAGCAAUACGGGAGCGGCAAACGGGGUAGGAAUACAUCGGAACGUACCUUUUGGUUGAGAAUAGCGUUGGGAAACUGACGGUAAUACUCAAUAAAGUCGAGAGACCAAAGGUUUACUGCCGGAAGAGCGGCCGAUGCGAUAUUAGGUAGUUGGUGGGGUAAUGGCCUACCAAGCCUGAGAUGUCUAGGGGGUGUGAGAGCAUGGCCCCCACCACUGGGACUGAGAUACUGCCCAGACACCUACGGGUGGCUGCAGUCGAGGAUCUUCGUCAAUGGGCGAAAGCCUGAACGAGCGACGCCGCGUGCGGGAUGAAGGCCCUUGGGUUGUAAACCGCUGUCAGGGGGGAUGAAACCGUAAGGUUGACAGAGCCCCAGAGGAAGCACGGGCUAAGUUCGUG
RNAcentral lists this ribosomal RNA (461 nucleotides) under uncultured bacterium. RNAcentral's name for it is "bacterial SSU rRNA". It matches the Rfam family "Bacterial small subunit ribosomal RNA", at positions 9 to 507 of the family's 1533-position model. The record is from RNAcentral.